RNAcentral lists this ribosomal RNA (1372 nucleotides) under uncultured bacterium. RNAcentral describes it as "bacterial SSU rRNA". It matches the Rfam family "Bacterial small subunit ribosomal RNA", at positions 28 to 1381 of the family's 1533-position model. The record is from RNAcentral.
GAUGAACGCUGGCGGCGUGCCUAAUACAUGCAAGUCGAGCGAACGGACGAGAAGCUUGCUUCUCUGAUGUUAGCGGCGGACGGGUGAGUAACACGUGGAUAACCUACCUAUAAGACUGGGAUAACUUCGGGAAACCGGAGCUAAUACCGGAUAAUAUUUUGAACCGCAUGGUUCAAAAGUGAAAGACGGUCUUGCUGUCACUUAUAGAUGGAUCCGCGCUGCAUUAGCUAGUUGGUAAGGUAACGGCUUACCAAGGCAACGAUGCAUAGCCGACCUGAGAGGGUGAUCGGCCACACUGGAACUGAGACACGGUCCAGACUCCUACGGGAGGCAGCAGUAGGGAAUCUUCCGCAAUGGGCGAAAGCCUGACGGAGCAACGCCGCGUGAGUGAUGAAGGUCUUCGGAUCGUAAAACUCUGUUAUUAGGGAAGAACAUAUGUGUAAGUAACUGUGCACAUCUUGACGGUACCUAAUCAGAAAGCCACGGCUAACUACGUGCCAGCAGCCGCGGUAAUACGUAGGUGGCAAGCGUUAUCCGGAAUUAUUGGGCGUAAAGCGCGCGUAGGCGGUUUUUUAAGUCUGAUGUGAAAGCCCACGGCUCAACCGUGGAGGGUCAUUGGAAACUGGAAAACUUGAGUGCAGAAGAGGAAAGUGGAAUUCCAUGUGUAGCGGUGAAAUGCGCAGAGAUAUGGAGGAACACCAGUGGCGAAGGCGACUUUCUGGUCUGUAACUGACGCUGAUGUGCGAAAGCGUGGGGAUCAAACAGGAUUAGAUACCCUGGUAGUCCACGCCGUAAACGAUGAGUGCUAAGUGUUAGGGGGUUUCCGCCCCUUAGUGCUGCAGCUAACGCAUUAAGCACUCCGUCUGGGGAGUACGACCGCAAGGUUGAAACUCAAAGGAAUUGACGGGGACCCGCACAAGCGGUGGAGCAUGUGGUUUAAUUCGAAGCAACGCGAAGAACCUUACCAAAUCUUGACAUCCUUUGACAACUCUAGAGAUAGAGCCUUCCCCUUCGGGGGACAAAGUGACAGGUGGUGCAUGGUUGUCGUCAGCUCGUGUCGUGAGAUGUUGGGUUAAGUCCCGCAACGAGCGCAACCCUUAAGCUUAGUUGCCAUCAUUAAGUUGGGCACUCUAAGUUGACUGCCGGUGACAAACCGGAGGAAGGUGGGGAUGACGUCAAAUCAUCAUGCCCCUUAUGAUUUGGGCUACACACGUGCUACAAUGGACAAUACAAAGGGCAGCGAAACCGCGAGGUCAAGCAAAUCCCAUAAAGUUGUUCUCAGUUCGGAUUGUAGUCUGCAACUCGACUACAUGAAGCUGGAAUCGCUAGUAAUCGUAGAUCAGCAUGCUACGGUGAAUACGUUCCCGGGUCU